CAACUUUGCUAUCUUAGAACGGAUCACCAGUGAAAGAGGGGAAGUUGCUACUGUGAUGAAUUCUGCCAUGUGGUACCAGACUGCUGCCCAGACCACAGUGUCCUCUGCAACCCUGGUCAAAGGUGCCUACAUGUUCCUUCUAGCUUUGUUUCCCUGAUGUUCCUUGCCACCUGCUACUCCUCUCUGAGCUACUUUUCCAGCUUCUCAGAUGACCAAGAUGGUGCUGCCGAUGGUGUUGAGGACGGAGAACCCACCAAGCCCCGUUAGGAGCCACCUAGACUGGAUGCAGAGCACAGCCCAUCAGAAACUCAAAAGAAUGCUACCUUUGUCUCUCACCCACCUGUGCCCUGGAAGCUUUCUCCUGGCUUCAAGUUGUCCCACCUUUGCUUGGCAUUGCCCUGCCUUUUCCAGACUGAACAAAUGUUCAUCUUACAUAUGUUGAUUGAUGUCUCAUGUCUCCCUAAAACAUAUGAAAUCAAGCUGUGCUCUGACCACCUUGGCACAUGUCGUCAGGACCUCCUGAGGCUGUGUCACGGACGCG
This 541-nucleotide long non-coding RNA is filed under the name Pongo abelii (Sumatran orangutan). Its description in RNAcentral is "lincRNA". Lineage: Eukaryota; Metazoa; Chordata; Mammalia; Primates; Hominidae. The record is from RNAcentral.